This is a long non-coding RNA of Manis pentadactyla (Chinese pangolin), 4743 nucleotides long. RefSeq lists it as uncharacterized. The transcript is spliced from 5 exons. NCBI's taxonomy places the organism in Eukaryota, Metazoa, Chordata, Mammalia, Pholidota, Manidae. The record is from RefSeq and is a predicted model, not a curated record.
GUCUCAUUCUUACCCUCUGCUCAUUAUCUGCUCCAUGCAUCUAAUCUAAGCUAUGGAACCAGAGAGGUCGGCGCCAUCCAGUCCCUGCCUUGAUGUUCAGCCUUUGCCGGCAGAAUUACAUGAAACAAAUACAGAGUUUGGUGAGGAAAGUAUAAUAUACUCAGACAUCAGAUUUCAUUGCUCUUCAAGUAUUCAGAAGAGAAAAAUAACUAGGAUUUUUAAGACAAAAGUGUCUCCGUGGUGCAUUGCUACAGUAGUAUUUGCCUGCCUUUAUUUAAUUGUUCUAGUACAAGCAGCAAUCAUGACAGCUAAGGUUCAAUGUCUAGAAGGGAUUCUGAAGGCACAAGGAAUCAGCGAUCAAAAUGAGACUGGAUAUUGCAGAGUAAUUUAGCAAAACAGGUAAUUGGUUCUCCUCUGAAGAAAAUUUAUAUUUUAUUUCUGCUGAAAAUAAAAUCAUGGCAGCCAGGAAAUUGUUCUGAAGCACUGAACUCCCUUCUUAUCAAGACAAAUAGCAAGGAAAAACUGGAAGUGUUUGGUGUGAUAUUCAUUCCUAUAGUUUCUUACAUAGAAGAAAAUCAUAGAGACUUUUAAAAAUAUCUUGUAUUCAUUCAAGCAUUCUAAACUUCAUGUAUUAUAAUUGGAAAUUCUUAAUCAAACCCAAAAUAUGAAAAUAUGAACUUAAAAUUAUUAUGUUUUUUUAAGUUUUAAAAACAUUUGCAUAUAGAAGUAAAUAUUAAUAUAUACAAAUUUCAGACCUUGGUAAAUAAAUGGAGGGAAAAUUUACAUAGGACAUAAAACUAAAGGGAAAAUAGUCAAAACUGCCACCUAAAAAAUAGCUAACGUGUAUUAAUUGCUUCUCAUCCUCAUAAUAAUACUUGUGAUUACUUGUACUAAAGCAUGUAUUGCCCCAGUAAUCCUCUGAGGCAGUACUCUGAUUAUUGUUGUCAUAUUAAUAAAGAAACUGAGGCCCAAAGAAGAUGAGAAAUUUUCCCAAGAUUGCAUGGCUAGUAAAAUUAGAACCAAGAGUUAAGCCAGUAAAGUCUUAUUGCAGAGAUUCUGAGCAUAACCAUUAUGCUGUGCUGACCCCAGAAGAAGACAUCAUAUAAAACCAAGUUUUAAGAAUAUUGCCACUUUGGAAAUAGGUCACUCAUGCAAGCAGACUGACAUUUUUCUCCCCUGGAUAUAUUUUUCAGGGAGAAAAAGAUGAGAAAAAGAACUUUCAAAAAUCUAAUAUUAUAAUAGCUCUUCCCCAGGAGUGACGAUUUUUAUACUAAUUAUUCUUUGGAAUAUGAAAAAACAAAGAAAUGAACAGAAGUAUGUGAGUAUAGGCAGACCUAAAGAAUAUAGGUCUCCUUUAUUUUUAGUUCUUCUCCACUAUGCAGUUAUUGUUUUUCUUUGCAUUCAAGUUCUGUUAUUGCCUUUAAUAAAGACUUCAACCCAUAUCAGUGAUAGUAAAUUUAUGGCAUAUAUGCUGACAUUUUCCAUAUGGUGCUUUUGGAAUUCCUCACACUCGUAACAUUCAUUCGUCCUGAGGCUGGAUUCCACUUUGAAUAAUUUUCAGCAAAGCACACCUGAAGUUUCCCCCGUUACACUGCCCUCAUCUCAUCCACAUACUGUGUAAACUUUUAUACACAGAUCACUCGUGAACUGUUUCAGGAAGAACAAGUAAAAAAAUGUAUAUGAAGAGUAAUGAGUUUGCUAAGGCAGUGUCUCCUAAUGACCUAUUACCUCAGAAUUUGCUUUGGUAAAGCACAGUUUCUGCAUAACUUAUAGUGGAAGAGAGAAUGUUUGCUAAUUUCCAAAACUGACAGAAGACACCAAACUACAUAUUGACAAAGCCUUAUGAACCCCAGGAGGGUGAACAAAAUGAAAACACAGUUAUGUGUAUCAUGUAUAAUGACUGAAAACCAAAUACAUAUUAAAAAGCUGAUGGUUGUGCAGCAUGGAGAAUAUAGUCAGUGAUUCAGUAACAUCUUUCUACGUUGAUGGUAACUGCACUAGUAGGGGUGAGGAUUUAAUAAUAUGGGUAACUGUUGAACCACUGGGUUGUACAUUUAAAACCAAUAUAAGAUUGUGUUUACCAAUGACUCUUCAAUAAAAAAAAAGCUGGAAAGCAAGCAGAGCAAAACAGAAUUUACCCUCAAAGGAGCAAUUGGCAGCUAAUUUAUAAAAGAAAAAGAAAACAUAGGAGCCAUAUAAUUACUUACAGACAACUGACAUUCUGAAAUUGUAUUCCCAGAGAAAAUAUUCCAUGAGAAUCAUUUGAGUAGAUAGUCAUAUUUCAUUCAUGAAAUAGAGAUAGUUUAAGACAAGUAGAGAAAAAAAUUGUUCAUCACCUUAGGUCUACACUAGGAUAUACACUGCAAUGUCCUUUUAGGUGUAAGAGAAUGAUCCUGAAAGGAGCAUCAGAGAUUCAGGAUGAGGGGCAAUGAAAUAGGUAAAUGUGGGUGUACAUCUAAAGGAAUGGUGAUUUAUAAAAAUAUAAUAUUAAUGUCUAUGAUUUUAAAUAGAAUAAAAUUACAGUAUACUGUCUGGCAGGUAGAUACAGACUGCAGCAGCAAACUCUUUGAAGCUCUUGCACAAGGUAUUAACACCUUAUUUUAAUCCUACAUGCACACAGUAAUUUAUUAAUUAAUCAUGUUAAUUAAAAAUACACAUGGAAACAUUGUAUUUUGAAAUCAUGUUGAAUUUGGUCUUGUCAACUCUGGUUUCUAAAACCUCUUCCAAUGAGAAUCCUAACAAGAUUAAUAUUUUGCAUUAUAAAACCUGUAUUUGCACAUCUGUUCUUGUAGGUAGAUGUCUCCUUUUGUAAAACUGUUAUUUAGCCAGUGUCAAACACUGAUAAGGAAAAUAAAAACAUCCAGAUCUUUCAUAUUGUUACAUAUAUUUAUUUCACUUCAGUAUGAGUAUCCUGUUCAUUAUCAACUAGUGGAGUGGAUAACUGAUUUGGGUUUUUUGUGAAAGGAGGGAUUGAAAGUGCUUUCUUGUUCUUGAUCAAACUCAAGGUUGGGGCAAGUGAAGAUGACUCUGUGUAAUGUGUUUAAAUUUAUACUUCUGGAUGAUUUUGUUAAUGUCACUGUAACAUAAAACUAUAAAUUUAUUCCAUACGAAAAAAAGAAAAUCAGCACAGCAUUGACAAUCCAAAUGUAACUGCAAAUAUGGUCAACACUUCAGGGGACAAAUCAAAAUGGAGAGUGGAACAAGAGUUAAAAUCAUCACUUUUUCCCACUUUCUUUUAUUGCUCGUAUUUGACUAGUAAAGUUGCAAGAUGGUCCAUCCUACAGGCUCCUGACCUCCCUGUUCUUAGUGUAUUUAUUUCAUAAGAAUUGCAACUGUAGAUUCUUUCUCUGCCCCUUUGAAAUGUAAUUCUUCUCCCAGCUUCUUACUAGUUUUACAACCCAGGAUCAUCUUUCUCAAGGACCAGGGAGCUAUACCUUUGAAGUGUAAUCAUCAAAAAAGGCAAUAUUCUGAUCUCCCAUUCUCUGUGGGAACAUAGGAGCCUAAUUCAAUUAAUGCCUAUCAGCAAAAGCAGAUACCUCAUCGCACUGAACAGCCUUCCCCUAAUGUCCUCCAGGACUUUCUCACUGGCUCAGCCCAGCACUUAAAAACUCUUCCCCCUUUUUUCUCUAUGGAGUUCAAUUCAAUCUCUCUCUCCUAUUGCAGUAGUUCAGAAUAAAGUCUUCCUGGCCUGCUCAAUUCUGCUCAGUUAACAAUAGAGGGAACUGUGUUAAGUACAUCCAUCAAUUCUUUGUAUCUUUCUUGCAACUUUUUCUGAGUCUGAAAUUUAUUUUAUUUUAUUAUAUAUGUAUAAUACAAUAGUAUCUAUAUAUAAAAUAAUUUAUAAAAAUCUCUCCCCUACUGAUCUUACUCAUUAGUUAAAAAACUGGUAAAGAAAAGAUUAAGUAUUUCUUCAGCAAAUUGCUUCUUAUAUAAACCAUGACUAGACUGAUGUAAUAAUUGAUAAGUAAAAAUUACUGUUUAUAGAAAUCUUCUGGCCAAUAAAUAAAAAUGAGCAUGAUCCAAAUAUCACUAAUUUUCUAUGGGUGUUGAGUUGAUGGACAGUGCUAAUGAUCAUCAAUUGCUGUUAACACUAUAAAAAUGAAACACUAGACAUUAAAUAUCUGAAUGCAAUUACACAGCCCUUUUAUAAAAUAGUAGGGCUUUUCUUCCCAAAACAAAUCCAAUCUGAUUCUUACCAAGUCUCUAUCUUGUUAUCAAUACACGAGAAAUAAAAAAAAUAGAAGAACAUGUCCUACACCAACACAGAUAUGCCAUCAGCAAAGCCAGGACUGCAGAAAACCCCAAAGGUUUUUUAGCAACACAAUCCAGUUUCCUUCACAACAUAAACAACAAUAAGAACAAUACAGAUUAGAGAGGCAUCAACCAGUCACAGCAGUGAACCCCUAUCUAAUCGGCUUUAAAAAUAUGUAACAAUCAGGGAAAUGAGAAAUUAUUGUCAAAUAGAGAUUAUGUUAUAAAAACUGUGUUUGCCUUUUAGAGAUUUACACUGAAAAUUUACAGAUUAAAUCAUGUAUCUGAAAUCAUCUGGACUGGAGAAUUAAUACACCCUGUACCUGGGUGAUGGGCGCAAGGCAAUCCACCAAACUCUGUACUACUUGAUGUAUAAAAUUUUCUUCCAUAGCAGAAAGUUAAAGAAUAUAAAAACACUGCUCUCUCCAUUAGUCACUGGGUACAAGAGAACAUGAUUAAAGAGCUGCUUUACUGAGCCAGUCAUAGUAAGAA